AGAAACAAACCAAGAAUUUGAGUAGCUCCCAAGAGAGUAUCAACACCAGCAUACUUGCAAGAUUUGACAUAAACAACACCUUGAACAGCUAUAAAGCUUCUAGGGAGGGGAGUAGGAUGCAAUGGUGGGUGUGCUGGAGCAGGUGGGUGUAAUGGAGGGUGAGUUGGAACAACAGGGGUGUGAACGGGUGGGUGUAGUGGUGGAUGUGCUGGAGCAACAGGUGUGUGGACAGGUGUAGGAGCAGGAGGGUGAGGAUGAUGGUGGUGGUGGCCGUGAGUUGGUGGUUUAGCAGGUACAGGAGCAGAAUGGUAAGGAGGGUGUAGAGGGGUGUGAAUAGGAGAAGGAGAAGGAGUAGGAGUAGGAGCAGGGGUUGGUGAGUGAAUGUGGUGGUGGUGAUGGUGGUGAGGGGCGUUAGCCGGUGGGUGAAGUGGAGCUGGUGUUGUGUGAGGAGGGUAAGUUGGGGUAAGAGUUUCAAGCUCUUCUGCAAAUGUAGUGAAAGAGAUGAGUUGGAGUAAGAGUAGCAACAUUGCAAGGGUUUUAGCCAUUUCUCAAAGUGUAAGAGAAAGUAACCCUAGAAAGAGAGAGGAAGAGGAUGUGAUGUUGGUGUUAUGAGAGAGUGUGAGGGUUGAUUUAUAGGACCUAGUGCCCAAAUUUAUUGUGGUUUUUGUUUAUAUGCAAGUUAUUUUUUAAAAUAAUUUUGUUUCUUUAUUUUUGCUUUUUAGUGCAAGAUAUAAGCAGAAAUUUGGGGAAGGGGUUCCGAAAACUAGGAAAACAAUAGGACAAUGGGUAAAUGUUAAAAAUAUUUAAUUGUAUUUUUGUCUCCUAUUUUUUCAAACUUACAAAAUUAAUUUUCAUUUUUUUAACUUGAAAUUUUUGAUGCUCUAAUGCUAUGUUUAAUUGGUUUCGCGUUCAAUAUUUAUGGCAUUGUUCAAAUUGUGUUGUCUACAUGAUCACUGGUGUGAACAUCUUUUUAGUCUUGAAUAAGUAUUAUAGACCCAAUUUAUCUACACUAACUAUAAGAAAUGUUAUGUACAAUAGUAUUUUUUGUUGGAAAUAACCUAAGGAAAUUUUAACACUUGUUCUAUUUUUUCCUUAAUUCUUGGAUAUUUUGCUUCUAAUAUUGGUAUUUUGUACGUUUUAAAUGUUGAAAUUAUGGAUGUUAUCCUUGCUAUUGAGUUAGCUUAUGAGAAAUAUUUGACUCAUCUUUGACUUGAAUAUGAUUCUUAGCUUGUCAACUUGACUUUUAUGCCGUCUAAGAUCAUUUAUUAGAAUUUAUAUAAUCAUUGAAAAAACUGUUUUGAUUUGCUUAGAAAUAUAACUUUGAGGUCACUCACAUUUACGAGAAGGAAAUUGUUGUAUUGAUCGUAUUGCUAAUAUAUGUAUUUUUAUCUUUAGUCUCGCUUGUGCGAUAGCACGUCAGAUUUCUAUUAAAGACGAUUUUCAUCAUAAUCGAUUAGGUUUACCUUUAUAUAUAUUUUGUUUAUGUUGGUUUCUGCAAUAUAUAAACUCUACACUUUUUCUUUUUUUUUCGUUCAUCAAGCUUUCAAUAAAGCAAAAUGUUUUUAACACCUUAUGCCUUGUCUUGGGUAUUGUCAUAGUCUCCCCAAGUUAUACUAUAAGUUAACCAAACCACCCUUGUUAGAAUUUUAACACUUUGAAGUUCUUUACCAAACUUUUACUAUGAAAGUUUUAUUUUGUGGAAAUUUGAACACUUGUUGAAUCAUUAUUGAAAAGAUUAAUUAAAUGAAGAAAAUCUUAAUAAUUUUGUAGUAGUACAAAAGAAGGAUGAUAAAGAAAACUAUUCUGGCUUGGCACAGACAAACGGCUGAAGAAGAGCACAUGCAUAGGUACUGGUUAUCCAAUAUCUGGAAUUCGCACUUCUUGCAAGGCAAAUGUAGAAGUUUCCAAGAACGUUGGUAAUAGCAUUCUUCUUUUUUUAAAGGUUAAUAACUUGUUUUAUUAUUAUGUACUAUUGUAAUACUAAUAUUCUCUCCGGUCCUAUUUACAAAAAAUAAUUUACUUUUUAGAUACAUUAAAUAAUUUAUGUAUUUGGUUUAGGUUCUUGACUAGAUACAUACAUUAUUCAAUGUAUUUAAAAAGUGACCUUUCUCUUGUAAACAGGACCGGAGGGAGUACCUAAAAAGUGAUCUUUCUCUUGUAAACAGGGCCGGAGGGAGUGAGGGAAUACUAUAGAGGCUAGGAGCAUAAAAUGUAGCACAAAAUCACAGAAUAAAUUGUUUGGAAAAAAAUAAUCACGAAAGAAAUGGUUGAAUAAUCCAGUGUAAAGAAUCUGGUUUUUCUUUUUUUGAACUGAAAGUCAUUUGGAAACUUAAAAUAAUUCUUCAAAAUGAUGUGUUUUGGUGGGUUUAUCUUCAUGGGUAUUUUUAGGUGGUUAUGGUGUACCGUCUAUAUGCAGCACCAUUUGUAUCUUGUUUCGUCCAUACCUUACGUCUUGCGGGGAUGGCGUUUACUAAUAUUUGCCGAUUCAAAAAAAAAAGGUUUCCAUACCGUUGGAUGUUCUUAUAGAAUAUAGGUUGGAUUUAAUUCAGAUUUUAUCAAACUUUGUAAGAUUAAAAUUGUAUGCAUUUAUAACUCUUGUCCAUAACUUAUCUCUUCCAUUGUGAGACUCUAACACACUUUUUCACACCUAAAGCUAGACAUCUAAAGCAUUUUCAAUAACAGUGAUCUAAUACCAUCUCAAAAUUUACGUUGGGUCUAACUCAACUAUUAUAAAAUUAGUUUGCAAUGCAUGGAUUGCUCCGAGUUAUAAACUUAUAAUCAUACAUCGUUUUAUCUAAUAAGAGACUCUUUACAAAUUUUUCUAAUUGUUGGAUUUGAUGUAUUAAAUAGUUAGACACUCAGUCUUAUUUGAAGGGGGUUUGGGAUAAACACUCGUCUUGUCUUAUUUGAAGAGUUUUGAGAUAGAAUUUCAUUUAAUAUGCUUGAUAUUUUUAUUCAACGAGUAUUAAUUAGUCAUAUAUUUCAUAACAUUAACUAAUCACAGUGUUUGUUUAUUUACUGUACACAUUUAUUUACGUUUCUUGGCGGGCACUCCAAACCAAUCUCCAUUUAAGAACUGUGAGAAUAUUUUUGUGCCUCGUGCUUGGCUUACUUAUUGUCAGUACUCCAUCAUCCUUCUCAAAACCUAAAAAAAAAAAAAUGUUCCUGAUAUUGUACCUUUUUUAUAGUAUAUUGUACGUUUAAAUCUUGAACCAUCCCAGCAUCUUAAUGUUAAUUUUUGGGGUUUUGUAGGUAUGUUUUUUUUCUCGUGGACGGGCUAACUUACUCCAUGUAUUUUGUACUUAUUGGUGGUUAUCUACUUUUGUUAAAAUAUUUUGUGAUCUUUAUUAAUGAUAUUCCAAGCUUUUUGUACAACAUUCGCUUCAAGAUUUCUCCUUCAAAACAAACUUUGUUAUGAGCAUAUCAAAAUCCAUAACAAAGAUAUUUGAUAUAAUGUUUCACAAGCAAUCAAUGAAAGAUAUCGAAAUGCCCUUCAACCAAAAUACAAGAGAAGCACAACCAAACUUGUUUAGCAUACAAGAAAUUCAUGAAAAUAUGAUCUAAUUCUUCUGUUGCUUUGCAAAGGGGACAUAGGGGAUCGAUCAACACAUGUUUUUUAGUAAACUUCUUUUUAACCUGGGGACUAUUGUGAAGAAUCCUCCAUGCGAAGUGAAAAUGUUUAAUUAAGGAUUAUACUUAUGUUCGUAACAUAAGUAUACAUUAGGAUGCUAUACUAUCCUAUAAGCCUACGAAUUGCAUAUCCCCAUUGUGAUAAUGUGAUUCAUGAUGGGCACAAUUUGUAGACCAGACGCUUUUGUGGCAACCCCGUUAAAAAAGCCAGUUUUUUGAAAUUUGAGUUUUAUCCAAAAAUUGCUUACUUUUCAUCAUUAUUCUCAACUUCAAACGUUGAUGGAUACAAUCACCUCAUUGGUUUCUUGAGAGUCUAACAGUAAGAAAAGAUGCUGAUCAAUGGUUUCAAAUUAGAAAAGAAAAUCAAAUUUUUGAGAAUUAGUUAGUUUUGGGAGGAUUAAAUAUGAAAUAAAAAAUUAAUAGUACGUAUGAAUUUUGAUAUGUUAGUUUUCAAUUAGAAUACCAGUGGAGAUUAAUUAAGUCUAGUAAGAAAGGUUGGAUUCUCAUUUCUCAUAACUUGACAAUUAAGAUUUAAACACAUAAUGAGAGAAGCAUACACAUUUAGGAUCGAAUACAUCUCAGAUAGAAUUACUCAAAGUGGAAGAAAUUUAUAGAAAAAAAAAAUCACAUUACGUAUAUAAAUUAUGUAUUGAGAAUUUUUUAUAUACUAGCACAUAAUCGUGUUUGGAUUUAUUUUUGGGAGAAUAACAAUAUGAUUCUCAAAAACCCAACAAAUAAAACAUGAUUCUCAAAAAUUAAAAUUGAAUUUUAGAACAUGAUAUGUUUAAAAGUUCUUCAUUAGAUUGAUUAUAAAUCAUGUAGAUCAAAAACCUUUGUCCGUAGUCCAGGGCCCAAAAAACUAGGCUGAAUUUCUUUGGAACAGAUACUAUUCGGCUAUGAUUCAAACACCGAAUUGUAAACGUUCCAAUAUGACGAACUAACGUACAAAUUAUGGCCAAGGGAUUUACCAACAUGAAAUACCUGACACAUCUCUCCCAUACAUAGAGCUUGCGCUAUUGGGUCUGGAGUAAUAAUUGUUCCAGUAUCUACUCGGUGAGGUCUACUUAUAGGUUCCUUCAUAGGAGAGCUAGCGAGGCGGAUAGGUGGCUGAGAGAGAUUUCUUUCAAGGAUGUGGGAGUCUCAAGGUGAAGAAUUUAUCUUGACAACCGCUUUAUGAUAGGAUUUCGAAUCACCAUAAUCUCUUUCCUAUAAGGGUUAUAGUUUAUCUUAGGGGCAUUUUUUUGUGUUUUCUAUAUGAACCUAUAGUGUCGACUUAUGACCUUUUUUGUUAGGUGUACUUAUCUAUGUGAGAUAUGUGGUAUUAGAGCAUCCACAAUGGAGAUAUCCAUUUUUUGGUUGUUAAAUGAGUCCCACGUAUACACAUUACUUAUUUAUACUUUUUUAAUAGUAGUACAUAAUAAGCACUCAAUCACUCCAACCCAGAUCUCACACAAAGUUCUUAAAUGGGAUCCACUAAUCAACUAUCAAUAACUUUAUAUCAUUAUAUUUCAAUUUUUUAAUAUUAAAAGAGUGCGUGUCCUGCUUAAAAGUUUGGGUCUUAAGUAAGACCCCAAGUCUUAUAAGACCCUGAAAAAGAUUCUCUCAAUUGGGGGUACCUAAUAGGUACCGGGUCUUAAAUAGUUAAGACCCUCCCAUUGGAGAUGGUCUUAUGUGCUUGGGUGAUUGGAGUGAGGGUCAGUUUUACCUUCGAAUUUAGCAAGCAUUCUUAGUUUUAUGUUAAGAGAGGUUGGGUUUCUUACUACUAUGUCAAACUGUUGUGUGGUCCUUAUAAAGUUCUUGUAUGUUCGCAUUUUUUUGGGUAGGGAACUUUCGUGUUCUAGUUGAUAGAUAUGGUUAAACUCACCUAUGAUAGAUAUGGUUAAACUCACCUAUUAGAAGUGGUUUUUAGGAAAGUAUUCCGGCCACACCUAUUAUUUCUAUGAGUGCGAUCACGAAUCCAUUUUGUGUUGACAUCGAUAGUGUAACGUGAUGGCUUUGUUUAGAGGUUUGUUGACUGUGGGGGUUCUAAUCCUAUUCUUCCUCUUGUUUGAUUGUGGUUGGAUGUUUCUAAUAGAAUGUUAGACAAUUUUCUUGUGUUGUUUUGGUUUGGCUAUUAUUUUAUGAGAAAUGAUAUUUGUACAACCACUUUAUGAUAAUUUUUUGAUAACUUUCUCUCUCAUACUCACAUUAUAUUCUUAUUCUCUCUGGACCUUUUUCUCUCUAUUGUUUUUGACCAGUGAAAAGAGAGAAAAUAAUAGUUAUCAUCAAAGUUGUCACCAAUGGUGGUACAUAUAUCACUACUCUACUCUUAUUUUAUUUAUGGAUUGGCUUGAGUACUUCUUCAUAUGUAUGUACUCUAUCACGUGUUUCUUCCUUUUUUUUUUUAGGUAGCCUAGUGGUUAAAAUGCAUCUUAUAAGGUGAAUAAAUGGGGUGUUCGGAGUUCGAACUCCGGCCACUGCAUAUAAUAAUGCAUUGUCCUACCAACUGGCUCACGGAACUCUUCCUUUUUUAUAUUUGCCAUUAAAAAGAAAUAAUGAUAAUAUUCGGUUAGCUUAUCAUAUGAAUGGUAACGAUCCCUUGAAAAAAAUAUAUGAAUAGUAACGAUAAUUAUGGAAACAACCGGUUCUUGAUUCACAUAUAAAUAUGUGCAUCUUCAAAUUGUGUUGACUCAAUUAUCUCUAAUGUGAACUUUUUUUCCGUCUUAACUCUUAAUACUCUCUCUAUCUCUUCACUUUUUUUUUUGACCACAUUUAGUAAAAUUUUAAAAUGAAUGAAUUUUAAAAUAUAUAUAAUAUAUAGAAUUAUUAGUAGGGCUCAUUUUGUUUUUUGAAGAGCUUAGUUUGAGAAAUGAAGUUCUAUUAGGCAUAAAAUGAAUAAAGCGCACAUGCAAGAACCGCUUAUAAACUCAAAUGUGAGAGCUCUCUAUUGCGGGUGUUAUUAGAUUAAUGUUACAAAUAACUUCAAAAAAUCUUUUUUUACUAAACCUAAAAAACUUUUCAAAACUUUAAAUUCCUGUUUGAUGCGAAGAAUAUGAUACAACAAGAUAUGAUAAAUUGUUAGAUAAAAUAAGAUAUAUUAAUGACAUUAUAUUGUACCAAAAAAAUAAAAAUAACGACAUUAUAAACACCUACGAUAUCAAAAUUGUCUUAAAAUAUGGGCAUCUUCAAAUUAUCACUCAUGUGAACAUUUCUUUGUUGUCUUAUUAACGGUCCUCUCAAAAUAUCCUAACUUUGGAGUAAUAAGCAAAGGUGCUCAAUUGAUUCAAAAAAAAAAAAGUAAAGUCUCUUAAUAUUUAUUAAAAAAAAAAAAACUAUUCUAGAGGAAAUCUGUAGAGAUGUUGUCAAUAUGACAAUAUUCAAGUUCAGAAUAUAUUUUUAUGACAAUGGAUUAAAUAUGUUAGGUCAUUCAUAAAUAAUAGUCGUCUAACUUAAUACUAAAAAAAACUGUUUGAAUUCAUCAUUCUUACUUUUUUUUUUUUUUUCUUUUUUUUUUUAUAAACCGGAUAUCCUUCACGCGCAACUGCGGAGACUAAUCCCUCGAGUAUUGUGGGACCCAAAUGGGCGGCGGACUCUCUCUAAGAGUUUUAACUCUGCUGCAUGCCCAAGGCUGAAUACGAACCAAGAACCUUGGUUAAGCUAGAAGAGACUUGUUCCAUCUCAUCUAAAGCGCUCUUGGAUAUUCAUUCUUACUUCUUGAAUAACAUAAAUUGGAGUAAACAAAUUAAAUAAAAACGAUAAACAUUUUUUUAUUGCUGCAUUCUUACAAAAACCAUCCAUCACACACUCAUGAUGUCACUAUUAUGAAAGUGGAAACAAAGCUCCUAUCACUAAAAGACAUCAAUCUUUAUAAAUCCAAAAUUUCUUGAAUUCUAAUUUUCUUAAUGAGAGCAUUUAGGUUCAAACGCAAGGGGCGCAACAUUGUAGAGAAUAAAAGGAUGCCCUUCAGAUACAAAUGACUUCUUGGCCUUAAGAACGGCACCCGUGAUACCGCCAUGAAGAUUUGAGGGCUUUAGUCCAUUUGGUGCACUGACCAAUACAACAUUACACUUGCGAGCUGCAUAGCUUGAGAUGUUAUUUGAGCCUUUAAUAUAGAAAUAACCGUUCUUAUCUGUUUUUCCUUUUAAGACCACAUAUUGUUUGGUGUUGUUGCAUCGGAGCUUCACAACGGCACCUUCAAUUUCAAAACACCAUAACAUUAAUAAUAAUGAUCAUUAUUGUUUAAAAAGGGUACAUAACAUUGUCAUAUCAAUGAAAAAGGAUCCAACAAAAUAUGUCCAUUCUCGGUAAUCAUGCAACUUUAUUAAAAAUUUGAUGAAGAAAACUAAAAUUGAAAGAAAAUUGCGUAAAAAAUGCUCGGUGUAUAAUAAAAGAUCUAUAAAAAAAACUAAUUUGUAAAAAAAAUGAUAUGAAAGAACAAAGCAAUCAUGAAAGUUAAGAGACAAACCAAUUAUAGAUGUAGCACCCAAAAGGGUGUCACCUCCAGCAUGCUUGCAAGAUUUGACAUAAACAACACCUUGAACAGCUAUUAAGCUUCUAGGAUGGAAAAUUGAACGCAGUGGUGUGUGAGCAGGGGCAAGAGCAGGAGUGUGAUGAUGGCGGGGGUGAGGGUUGGGAGUUGGAGAUUUAGUAGGUACAUGGGCGUGGAAUGGAGGGUGAAUUGGAAUGUGUUUGUGAGCAGGGGCGUGAGCAGGAGGGUGGUGAUGUGUUGGUGGUUGAAUAGGCGCAUGAGUUAGAGGGCGUUGAUGGUUGUGAUGAGUUGGAGGUUUUGCAUGGCGAGGAGGAUGUACUGGAACAUGUUUGUGAACAGGGGCAUGAGCAGGAGGCUGGUGGUGAUGCGUUGGAGGUUGAACAGGGGAAUGAGUAGGAGGGUGUUGAUGGCGAUGAUGGGUUGGAGGUUUAGCAUGAUGAGGAGGAUGAACUGGAACAUGUUUGUGAAUAGGAGCAUGAGCAGGAGAGUGAUGGCGAUGUGUUGGAGGUUGAAUAGGGGAAUGAGCAGGAGUGUGUUGAUGACGGUGAUGGGUUGGAGGUUUAGCAUGGUGAGGAGGAUGAACUGGAACAUGUUUGUGAACAGGGGCAUGAGCAGGAGAGUGGUGGUGAUGUGUUGGAGGUUGAACAGGGGCGUGAGCAGGAGGAUGUUGAUGAUGGCGAUGGGUUGGGGGUUUAGUAUGAUGAGGAGGGUGUAAAGGAGCGUGAACAUGGGAACGAGAAGGGGUUGGUGA
This 8849-nucleotide long non-coding RNA is filed under the name Medicago truncatula (barrel medic). RNAcentral describes it as "long non-coding RNA (MTRU_LNC002178)". Lineage: Eukaryota; Viridiplantae; Streptophyta; Magnoliopsida; Fabales; Fabaceae. The record is from RNAcentral.